Molecule: RNA transcript, 4556 nt
Organism: Chelonus insularis
Lineage: Eukaryota; Metazoa; Arthropoda; Insecta; Hymenoptera; Braconidae
Gene: Strump
Gene name: WASH complex subunit strump
Exons: 12
Source: RefSeq, a predicted model, not a curated record
AUGCUGUUUUUCUAUUCUCUGAUUCGCAUCAUUUUGGCAAACAAAAGUAAAUAUGUUUAUAAUAUGAGUAGAGUUUUUUAACACAUUAUUUAUAAACGUAUAUUUUUUAAUUAAUAUAUCAUAAAAAUGAGUGAUUUUCUGGCAAAUAAUAAUAUUUGUGGACAAAACCUUUUGCGUCUUGUUUCUCGAGGAAAUGCAAUUAUUGCUGAAUUAAUGCGUCUGAAGGAACAUGUACCGCCAGUUUUUAAGUUAGAUUCAAAACGUAAUUUGCAAAAAUAUGGAUCAAUCAUUAUGGACUUUGCAUACUUUAAAGCUGCUAAUAUUCAUGAACAAAAAAUUGAAAAUGAUCCAAUUCUCCAAGAGUUGGAUGAAAAUUUAAGGGAAAGCUAUGCAGAUGUUUUAUCUAGAUUUUAUUUAGCAUUUGAAAGUAUUCAUAAAUUUAUCACAGAUUUGAAUACUUAUAUUGACGAAUUAGAAGAUGGGAAUUAUAUUCAGCAAUCAGUAGAGAGUGUCAUGCUGAAUGAGGAAGGAAAACAGUUAAUGUGUGAAGCAGUGUAUCUGUACGGUGUUAUGCUACUGUUAGUAGAUCAUCAAUUUGAAGGUCAGAUAAGAGAAAGAAUGUUAGUUUCCUAUUAUAGAUAUAAUGCUCAACGAUCAUCUUCAACGAGGGUAGAUGAUGUUUGUAUGUUAUUAAGAUCAACAGGUUUCUCUAAAUCAUCGUUAAAACGACCAUUAAAUUAUCCAGAAGAUUAUUUUAGGAGAGUUCCGAUUAAAUCUACGUUUAUUGAUCUUUUAAUCGGCCGGCUGAGACUAGAUGAGCUUUAUAGCCAGUCUUUAACAUUCCCAAACCCAGAAUAUCGCAGUUUAGCUUCAGCUAAUCAAGCUGCUAUGCUAGUUAUCAUUCUCUCAUUUCAAUCGUCAAUUCUACAAACAGGAUCGGCCAUAAUGCGUGAAAUCGUAGACCGUUUUUUUCCUGACAAUUGGGUAAUUAGCAUUUACAUGGGAAUUGUAUUGAAUUUAUGUGACUGGUGGUCUCCUUAUAAAGCAGCUCGAAUUGCACUUAAUAAUACUCUAGAAGCAGCUAAUGUAAAAAAAAUUGCACAAAUGUAUGGUAUCAAAGUUCAGAAAUUAAUAACAGAAACUGAAAAAUUACAACUAGCUGUAACUCUAGAUGAAAAUGAAAUUGAAUCUAUUGUUAAAUUAAUACGUGAAUGUAAUGUAUCACUACACUGGAUAUUACUACAUACAACAGUACCAACAAUAUUACAUGAAGAAUCUAAACGAGUUCGAUCUUUACGCCAACAAGUUAUAAAUGAAAGCAAAUACACUAUUGAUAAUUGUUUGAAAUUAUUACUCAGCACUGCACAAAUUGAACACGAUGUUAAACAAAUGUAUAAACAAAUGUUGAAGGAUAAAGAAUCCAAAUGGUCUGAGUAUAAAAAUAAAUGUAUACAACUUAUUGACAAUUUAAUUGAAAUAUUUAGUCAAAAUAAUAAAAAUUUUGACAGUGCUGACACUAAUGAACGUUUAAAGAUUUGGUUCAAAGAAAUAAGUACGCAUAUUAAUUCACUUCAACAAGAGGAUGGGAAGAAAAUAGCUCAAUUGCUACAGGCAUUAGAGGAAGUUCAGGAAUUUCAUCAAUUAGAAAAUAAUUUACAAGUUUCUAAAUAUUUAAUAGACACUAGAGAGAUUUUAUACAUCAUGCUACGUAUCGGAAGCAUUUCAGAAAGUACUAUGAUAGCUUUAAAUAUUUCAACAGAUAUUUGUUAUGCUUGGAACAUCAUGGAAACUUUUAUCGAUGUCAUGCAAACUAGUAUUAAAAAAAAUCCUCCAACUGUUGUUAAAUUGAAAGCAUUGUUUUCAAAAAUGGCUUCUGCAUUGGAAAUGCCAUUAUUAAGAAUCAAUCAAGCUAAAAGUGCCGAUUUGUCUUCUGUUUCACAAUACUACAGCAGACAGCUUGAAAGUUAUGCUCGAAGAGUUUUGCAAAUAAUUCCAGAAACUGUGUUUGGACUUUUAGCACAAAUUGUUCACUUGGAAACGAAUAUUUUCAAAGAAAUUCCAACCAAGUUGAAUAAAGAUAUGCUUAAAGAUUAUGCUCAACUGAAUGAACGUUUACAAAUGGCUAAAUUAACAUAUGCUGUAUCAGUAUUUACAAAAGGUGUUCUGUCUUUGAAAAGUGUAUCACUAGGAGUACUGCGAGUUGAUUCUAAUCGAUUACUAGAAGAUGGAAUACGCCAAGAGCUUGUUAAAAAAGUUACUCUCGCUCUGCAAAAUGGUCUGACCUUUGAUAAUAAAUCAAAAGUUUCUUUAGUUGAUAAAUUAAAUGACUUGGCAGUUGUCAUUGAUGGAUAUCGGAAAGCUUUUCAGUAUAUACAAGAUUAUAUUAAUAUAAAUAGUUUAAAAAUUUGGCAUGAAGAAAUAAUUUAUAUUAUUAAUCUAGCUCUUGAAGAUGAGUGUAAAAAUUCAGCGCCUGAGAAAUAUAGCAAAUUACAUGAUGAAUCGAAUUGUGAAUUAAAUGGAACUACUUUCAUUGGAAGAUUAACGAAGGAAUUAAUUCGUGUUACAGAUCCUAGAAAUACGGUUUAUAUUAAACACUCACUUGCAUGGUAUGAUCUUAAAACACAAAAUGAAGUUUUGAAUCAUAAAAUUUUCUCGACAAUUCUAGUGGCUAUGGGAACACCGGGAUUGUAUGGAAUUGAUAAAUUACUUUCUCAUUAUAUUAUUUUAGAGUUGAAGAAUUUACACAGAUUUUUAGAAGGUCUUGAUAAAAAUUGGUCACUAGUGGUUGGAGAAUGUUUGACAAUAAUGAAAACCCAUGAACUUCAUACCAGUAAUCCUGGCAAGCUUUACUCCAUUUUAUCUAAUCAUUCUAAUAAAAUGUGGCCAUCUAUGCUGGAUUCUUUGUUAAAAAUUGGCCAUUAUCAGUUACUAAGAAAUAAAAUUUGUUAUGAACUUAAUAUUGCUUGUAAAUUCGAAGCCAAGCAUAUGGAAAGUGCACUUCGAACUCUAAAUACAGCAAUACUCACAGAACUUGGAGGAAAAUCUGAUAACAGUUAUAGUGGUCAGGAAGAAAUGGAUUUAAUUAAUAAACUCAGUGUUAGGCUAGAUUGGACUGGAAUCAGUGAUCCACUGAAUAAAAAAUAUAUUAAAUUAUCUGAUAUCAGUCAUUUAGAUUUUACGCUUUUUUUAUUCACGAUUUUUUAUCUUCAUAAACUACAAUUUUGUAAGAACACAGCAAGCUUGUUGAGUAAAAAAAUUCAAGAUCCAAUCGAUGCAGUGGUAUUUUCAAUUGGUAUUCAAACGUUAUCGAAACAAUUUUCAUCAGAUAUUUUUGAUGAUUAUCUUUCAUAUCUUUGUAAAUAUGUAUUACUAUUCGUCGCUGUUGAUAAUGGCAAACUUGGCAGUGAAUGGGAAUCUGAAGGAUUAACUGUCUUACAUUAUCUUCAUCUAGUCUGCAAAAUUGCAAACAUACCUAAAUCAACCAUACUUGAUAAAAUUCCAAUAAUUAUUUUAGAUCAGUAUACAAAAAACAAGUAACUUUUAAUAUGAAAUUGAUCCAAUAAAUGUAACGAAAUAAACAUAUCGGAAAAUUUCAUUAUUUGAAUAAAUGAAUCAAUUAGGAAAUAGAAUAAAAUGUAAAAAAAAAAAAACGUAGGCGAAUUGUUACGCAUUGGCGGCUGUUGAUUACCAUUACAGUAAGUAUUUGCGGUAGGCGGCAAUUCGGCGCCUUUCGGCGGCAAUUGCGGUAACGCUAGUCACUGUCUUCAUUGUACAAAAAGGACCCUCAAUCGAAUUGAAUAUUUAGUCGUAUUAUAAAAAUUUGUUAGCUAUUACUGGAAUUUCUAUUUAUUUAUUGGUAAUUUUAGUGAAUUAUACUGUUUAUUUCAACGUCACAAAUGAAGCCUCGAAAAAAGAAAAUAAUGAAUCUUAUGGUGGCAAUUGUUGUAAUACUCGUUGGACAACUCACGGUAGCACAAGACUCAAAAUCAAGUCGUGAUUCUUUGAAUUUUAUGAAACAACGUCCUAAAAUACGAGAGUCCAGUAAUUUUCGUCCUGAAACACUUGCAACGGCUGUUGGAUUCGGAAAACGAUCGAGUAAUACUCCAUUAGUGAUGAAUGAGAAACCGAAAUAUUUAAUUAUUUUACCACCUGUACAAGCUAUUUAUCAAAGGAUUCCGGCGUAUUGGUAUCCACGAUAUUCAAGAAGAUCCAUCAAAUUACAAGAAAAAAAAUCAAAAAUCAGUACCAAGUAUACACUGGUACCAUUAAAAGUAUUAAAUUCGAUAUAAAUGAUUAUUUUGUUGUCAAUUUUUUGUUAUAGUUGAUUAUAAUAACACUGGCCAACGAUGAAAAUUUUUGUUUCAAUUACUUUAGCUAAUUUUUGUUUAAUUUGGUGUGCUGAUUAUGAAAAAAAUAAUUAACAAGUCGUAUCACCCACCAAUUUCUUACAAUUUAAUAUUGAAUAAAAUUAAUUUGUAUUAAUUUUUAGCUAUGCUAAAGAUCCUUACAGUAAAACUUUACUUUGAAAAUUUGUAACCCAAUAACAAACAAUAUUU